This 253-nucleotide ribosomal RNA is filed under the name uncultured bacterium. RNAcentral's name for it is "partial 16S ribosomal RNA". It matches the Rfam family "Bacterial small subunit ribosomal RNA", at positions 524 to 776 of the family's 1533-position model. The record is from RNAcentral.
UACGAAGGGGGCUAGCGUUGCUCGGAUUCAUUGGGCGUAAAGGGUGCGUAGGCGGCGCGGUAAGUCGGGUGUGAAAUCUUGGAGCUUAACUCCGAAACUGCAUUCGAUACUGCCGUGCUUGAGGACUGGAGAGGAGACUGGAAUUUACGGUGUAGCGGUGAAAUGCGUAGAUAUCGUAAGGAAGACCAGUGGCGAAGGCGGGUCUCUGGACAGUUCCUGACGCUGAGGCACGAAGGUCAGGGGAGCAAACGGG